This 497-nucleotide ribosomal RNA is filed under the name uncultured bacterium. RNAcentral's name for it is "partial 16S ribosomal RNA". It matches the Rfam family "Bacterial small subunit ribosomal RNA", at positions 28 to 507 of the family's 1533-position model. The record is from RNAcentral.
GGCGAACGCUGGCGGCGUGCCUAAUACAUGCAAGUUGAGCGCUGAAGGUUGGUACUUGUACCGACUGGAUGAGCAGCGAACGGGUGAGUAACGCGUGGGGAAUCUGCCUUUGAGCGGGGGACAACAUUUGGAAACGAAUGCUAAUACCGCAUAAAAACUUUAAACACAAGUUUUAAGUUUGAAAGAUGCAAUUGCAUCACUCAAAGAUGAUCCCGCGUUGUAUUAGCUAGUUGGUGAGGUAAAGGCUCACCAAGGCGAUGAUACAUAGCCGGCCUGAGAGGGUGAUCGGCCACAUUGGGACUGAGACACGGCCCAAACUCCUACGGGAGGCAGCAGUAGGGAAUCUUCGGCAAUGGACGAAAGUCUGACCGAGCAACGCCGCGUGAGUGAAGAAGGUUUUCGGAUCGUAAAACUCUGUUGGUAGAGAAGAACGUUGGUGAGAGUGGAAAGCUCAUCAAGUGACGGUAACUACCCAGAAAGGGACGGCUAACUACGUG